RNAcentral lists this ribosomal RNA (406 nucleotides) under uncultured bacterium. RNAcentral describes it as "partial 16S ribosomal RNA". It matches the Rfam family "Bacterial small subunit ribosomal RNA", at positions 30 to 526 of the family's 1533-position model. The record is from RNAcentral.
AUUGAACGCUGGCGGCAGGCCUAACACAUGCAAGUCGAACGAGUGGCGGACGGGUGAGUAAUGUCUGGGAAACUGCCUGAUGGAGGGGGAUAACUACUGGAAACGGUAGCUAAUACCGCAUACCAUCGGAUGUGCCCAGAUGGGAUUAGCUAGUAGGUGGGGUAAAGGCUCACCUAGGCGACGAUCCCUAGCUGGUCUGAGAGGAUGACCAGCCACACUGGAACUGAGACACGGUCCAGACUCCUACGGGAGGCAGCAGUGGGGAAUAUUGCACAAUGGGCGCAAGCCUGAUGCAGCCAUGCCGCGUGAAUGAAGAAGGCCUUCGGGUUGUAAAGUUCUUUAGUUAGGGAAGCGUUACCUGAAGAAAAAGCACCGGCUAACUACGUGCCAGCAGCCGCGGUAAUAC